Molecule: unclassified non-coding RNA, 659 nt
Filed under: Hevea brasiliensis (rubber tree)
Lineage: Eukaryota; Viridiplantae; Streptophyta; Magnoliopsida; Malpighiales; Euphorbiaceae
Source: RNAcentral
UUGGCCUGCAUGAGUUACUAGUGGUAUGUAAUUCUCAACUUUCCUUUUUCUUGGCUGGGAUAAAUUCUGUUGAAAAGAAAGCUUUGCCAUAUUUUGAAAUUGUAUUCAGUUUUAAGAUUUUCUUAUGUUUUCUGAUAUUGCAUGAUUUCAGCAGUUAAUUAUAUAUGAAUAUGGAAGCAUUGAAAAGUGUCCUUAAUUACUGCUAAUGGAUCCAAUAUGAUAGAUUAUUCUUCUGCAACAAGAUUUGCUUUUUCCACUAUUUUAAAUGCAUUUUUUUUCUAAACCUUAAGAUGAUCAGACUGGGGCACUAUUAUUUCAGACUGUAUAUUGUCUAAUGGAAAUGAGUGGUCUAUUAAGUGGGUUAGGAGAAAUGCAAACAAAGUAGCUCAUGUUCUUGCAAAGGCUGCUUGUUGUCAUGCUUCUUUUACUGUUUGGGAAGAGCCACCUUGCUCUCUCUCUUUUGUUAGCUGAUUCAGUUUGAUUGUUGAAGUUAUUUUUACUUCAAAAAGGAAAAAAAGAUGAUUCUUCCUGUUAUGGGUAAUUGUAUUUAUUAUGCCUCUCUCCCUUUCUGCUCAUGUACAUAUAGUUAAUUUAAACAGAUGCCUCGUGUUCUAAAUUUUGGUGGUUUAUAUUGCAGGAUGUUGUGAAUGAUAGGAUCA